GGAUACCACCCUUGUAGUACUGGGACUCUAACCAUAGGCCAUGAAUCUGGUCUUGGGACACUGUCAGGUGGGCAGUUUGACUGGGGCGGUCGCCUCCCAAAAAGUAACGGAGGCGCUCAAAGGUUCUCUCAGUACGGUCGGAAAUCGUACGUAGAGUGUAAAGGCAAAAGAGAGCUUGAUUGCAAGACAUACAGGUCGAGCAAGG
This 205-nucleotide ribosomal RNA is filed under the name Clostridioides difficile. RNAcentral's name for it is "partial 23S ribosomal RNA". It matches the Rfam family "Bacterial large subunit ribosomal RNA", at positions 2195 to 2398 of the family's 2925-position model. The record is from RNAcentral. Lineage: Bacteria; Bacillati; Bacillota; Clostridia; Peptostreptococcales; Peptostreptococcaceae.